GGCGGCCGUAACAAUAACGGUCCUAAGGUAGCGAAAUUCCUUGUCGGGUAAGUUCCGACCUGCACGAAUGGCGUAACGAUGGCGGCGCUGUCUCCACCCGAGACUCAGUGAAAUUGAAAUCGCUGUGACGAUGCAGUGUUCCCGCGGCAAGACGGAAAGACCCCGUGAACCUUCACUACAACUUUACAUUGGACUUUGAAAUUGCUUGUGUAGGAUAGGUGGGAGGCUUUGAAGCGUGGACGCCAGUUCGCGUGGAGCCAACCUUGAAAUACCACCCUGGUAAUUUCGGAGUUCUAACCUCGAUCGGUAUAUCCCGGUCAGGGACAAUGUAUGGUGGGUAGUUUGACUGGGGCGGUCUCCUCCCAAAGAGUAACGGAGGAGUGCGAAGGUAACCUCAGCGCGGUCGGAAAUCGCGCAGUGAGUGCAUAGGCAUAAGGUUGCUUGACUGCAAGACACAAGUCGAGCAGGUACGAAAG
Molecule: ribosomal RNA, 476 nt
Filed under: Ditylum brightwellii
Lineage: Eukaryota; Bacillariophyta; Thalassiosirophyceae; Lithodesmiales; Lithodesmiaceae
Description: partial Bacterial large subunit ribosomal RNA
Rfam family: Bacterial large subunit ribosomal RNA
Source: RNAcentral